ACCCCCCUUGCGGACCUUCAUGGAAUGCUCGGGCGGCUGUCUUUCGGGGCAGUCGGGCUCCAUCUCUCCGGAGAUGGGGUCGGCAACCAACCUACACACCCAACCAAACCGUCUGUCUGAAGUCAACUCGACCUAGCACUGCUAGUCGAACAACAAAGACAACUCUCAACAACGGAUAUCUAGGCUCUCGCAACGAUGAAGAACGCAGCGAAAUGCGAUACGUAGUGUGAAUUGCAGAAUUCCGUGAAUCAUCGAAUCUUUGAACGCAUAUUGCGGUCGAGGCUUCGGCCGAGACCAUGUCUGCCUCAGCGUCGGUGUGACCCCCACAUCCACCCCCCUUCGGGGCGGGAUCCGGAUGGAUCUGGUCUCCCCACUGCCCGCCAGUGGGUUGGCCGAAAUUCAGAGGUUUGAGCUUGGACCUGUAUGGCACCAGCAAGGUAGGUAGCUCGACUACUCCAGCUGAUGCUUUGGGAACUGGCCCGAGCCCGCAGGAAAACACACCACUCUUUCGACCUGAGAUCAGGCAAGGCU
Molecule: ribosomal RNA, 531 nt
Filed under: Rhexinema paucicellulare
Lineage: Eukaryota; Viridiplantae; Chlorophyta; Ulvophyceae; Ulotrichales; Helicodictyaceae
Description: eukaryotic LSU rRNA
Rfam family: 5.8S ribosomal RNA (bases 161-314)
Source: RNAcentral